This 682-nucleotide ribosomal RNA is filed under the name Stutzerimonas stutzeri. RNAcentral describes it as "bacterial SSU rRNA". It matches the Rfam family "Bacterial small subunit ribosomal RNA", at positions 82 to 760 of the family's 1533-position model. The record is from RNAcentral. Lineage: Bacteria; Pseudomonadati; Pseudomonadota; Gammaproteobacteria; Pseudomonadales; Pseudomonadaceae.
GCUCCCUGAUUCAGCGGCGGACGGGUGAGUAAUGCCUAGGAAUCUGCCUGGUAGUGGGGGACAACGUCUCGAAAGGGACGCUAAUACCGCAUACGUCCUACGGGAGAAAGCAGGGGACCUUCGGGCCUUGCGCUAUCAGAUGAGCCUAGGUCGGAUUAGCUUGUUGGUGAGGUAAUGGCUCACCAAGGCUGCGAUCCGUAACUGGUCUGAGAGGAUGAUCAGUCACACUGGAACUGAGACACGGUCCAGACUCCUACGGGAGGCAGCAGUGGGGAAUAUUGGACAAUGGGCGAAAGCCUGAUCCAGCCAUGCCGCGUGUGUGAAGAAGGUCUUCGGAUUGUAAAGCACUUUAAGUUGGGAGGAAGGGCAUUAACCUAAUACGUUAGUGUUUUGACGUUACCGACAGAAUAAGCACCGGCUAACUUCGUGCCAGCAGCCGCGGUAAUACGAAGGGUGCAAGCGUUAAUCGGAAUUACUGGGCGUAAAGCGCGCGUAGGUGGUUUGUUAAGUUGGAAGUGAAAGCCCCGGGCUCAACCUGGGAACUGCUUUCAAAACUGGCAAGCUAGAGUAUGGCAGAGGGUGGUGGAAUUUCCUGUGUAGCGGUGAAAUGCGUAGAUAUAGGAAGGAACACCAGUGGCGAAGGCGACCACCUGGGCUAAUACUGACACUGAGGUGCGAAAGC